AUUGAACGCUGGCGGCAGGCCUAACACAUGCAAGUCGAGCGGAUGAAGGGAGCUUGCUCCUGGAUUCAGCGGCGGACGGGUGAGUAAUGCCUAGGAAUCUGCCUGGUAGUGGGGGAUAACGUCUGGAAACGGGCGCUAAUACCGCAUACGUCCUGAGGGAGAAAGUGGGGGAUCUUCGGACCUCACGCUCUCAGAUGACCCUAGGUCGGAUUAGCUAGUUGGUGGGGUAAAGGCCUACCAAGGCGGCGAUCCGUACCUGGUCUGAGAGGAUGAUCAGUCACACUGGAACUGAGACACGGUCCAGACUCCUACGGGAGGCAGCAGUGGGGAAUAUUGGACAAUGGGCGAAAGCCUGAUCCAGCCAUGCCGCGUGUGUGAAGAAGGUCUUCGGAUUGUAAAGCACUUUAAGUUGGGAGGAAGGGCAGUAAGUUAAUACCUUGCUGUUUUGACGUUACCAACAGAAUAAGCACCGGCUAACUUCGUG
RNAcentral lists this ribosomal RNA (484 nucleotides) under uncultured bacterium. RNAcentral describes it as "partial 16S ribosomal RNA". It matches the Rfam family "Bacterial small subunit ribosomal RNA", at positions 30 to 507 of the family's 1533-position model. The record is from RNAcentral.